UGGGGAAUAUUGGACAAUGGGCGAAAGCCUGAUCCAGCCAUGCCGCGUGUGUGAAGAAGGUCUUCGGAUUGUAAAGCACUUUAAGUUGGGAGGAAGGGCAUUAACCUAAUACGUUAGUGUUUUGACGUUACCGACAGAAUAAGCACCGGCUAACUCUGUGCCAGCAGCCGCGGUAAGACAGAGGGUGCAAGCGUUAAUCGGAAUUACUGGGCGUAAAGCGCGCGUAGGUGGUUUGUUAAGUUGGAUGUGAAAUCCCCGGGCUCAACCUGGGAACUGCAUUCAAAACUGACUGACUAGAGUAUGGUAGAGGGUGGUGGAAUUUCCUGUGUAGCGGUGAAAUGCGUAGAUAUAGGAAGGAACACCAGUGGCGAAGGCGACCACCUGGACUAAUACUGACACUGAGGUGCGAAAGCGUGGGGAGCAAACA
This 427-nucleotide ribosomal RNA is filed under the name uncultured bacterium. RNAcentral describes it as "partial 16S ribosomal RNA". It matches the Rfam family "Bacterial small subunit ribosomal RNA", at positions 355 to 774 of the family's 1533-position model. The record is from RNAcentral.